UAUUUAUAUAUCCGCUCCUUAGAACGUCAAUACAUGCAUUAGAGACAGGCUUUAAAUGUAUGAUAAUGGACAAGGUCCUAUAAUAGGACCUCAUCCAUAGGUGCACAGGUGUGAGUAUUGGAAAGGAAGACGCGCACAUGCUCUUGUGAGCCAGCAGCAGUCCCCUCGAAAAAUACUGUAAUGAUCCUUCCGCAGGUUCACCUACGGAAA
RNAcentral lists this unclassified non-coding RNA (210 nucleotides) under uncultured fungus. RNAcentral's name for it is "sequence contains ITS1". Lineage: Eukaryota; Fungi. The record is from RNAcentral.